AUUGAACGCUGGCGGCAUGCUUUACACAUGCAAGUCGAACGGCAGCACGGGCUUCGGCCUGGUGGCGAGUGGCGAACGGGUGAGUAAUGCAUCGGAACGUACCGUGUAAUGGGGGAUAACGUAGCGAAAGUUACGCUAAUACCGCAUACGCCCUGAGGGGGAAAGUGGGGGACCGCAAGGCCUCACGUUAUACGAGCGGCCGAUGUCGGAUUAGCUAGUUGGUGGGGUAAAGGCCUACCAAGGCGACGAUCCGUAGCGGGUCUGAGAGGAUGAUCCGCCACACUGGGACUGAGACACGGCCCAGACUCCUACGGGAGGCAGCAGUGGGGAAUUUUGGACAAUGGGCGCAAGCCUGAUCCAGCCAUGCCGCGUGAGUGAAGAAGGCCUUCGGGUUGUAAAGGUCUCUUUCAGGUGGAAAGAAAUCGCACUUUCUAAUACAAGUAGUGGAUGACGGUACC
This 458-nucleotide ribosomal RNA is filed under the name uncultured bacterium. Its description in RNAcentral is "bacterial SSU rRNA". It matches the Rfam family "Bacterial small subunit ribosomal RNA", at positions 30 to 479 of the family's 1533-position model. The record is from RNAcentral.